Molecule: long non-coding RNA, 669 nt
Organism: Mauremys reevesii (Reeves's turtle)
Lineage: Eukaryota; Metazoa; Chordata; Testudines; Geoemydidae
Exons: 4
Source: RefSeq, a predicted model, not a curated record
AGCAGACGUGCCUGCGGGAGCUCCCGGCUGGGAGCCCUCCUCGGCCCAAGGUAACUGCCCUGCCUGGCCGGAGCUUCCCCUCGCCCACUACCCAGAGGAGCCCGCGGAGCCUAUCCGGAGCCCGUACUGGGAGGAGCCCCCAGGAUUGCCGAGCGCCCGCUACGAGGAGGAGCCCCCUCGGCCCUGCUGUUACCCAGAGGAGCCGCCCGAGCAGUCCUGGCCCAACUUCCCAGAGGAGCUGCCGGACCUGCCGCCAAGCCCUCCACCGGAGCCGAUGCAGACCGACUGGCCUGAACCGGGUGUGACGGACGAGGUGCACCCUGUGCAGCUCCAGUGUUCAACUCUCCAAAGACAUGGACCAAGGCCGGAUUCAGAGGCCAGAAGGUGCCCAACUCACUAGCGAGUCCAUGAAAAAUCAAGAGUCACUUUAUCAAGCAGCACCUAGAGGCUCCAACCAAGAUCAGGGUCGCCUUGUGCCAGGCACUGUGCAGACACAUGGGAGGAGAGAGAACCUGCCAUGACGAGCUUCUGGCCUAAACAGAGGAGACAAAGGGUGAUUGAUCCCAGUUGUACAGAAGCUGGUCCAAUGCAUGAUACCACCUCACCCGCCUUAUCCGCUCCCACCUGUCAAUUCCCGGACCCAGGUGAGUUUGCCAGGAUGUGGAAGCA